UUGCCCUAGUAACGGCGAGUGAAGCGGCAACAGCUCAAAUUUGAAAUCUGGCCCUUGGGUCCGAAUUGUAAUUUGUAGAGGAUGUUUUUGGUGCGGUAUCUUCCGAGUUCCUUGGAACAGGACGCCUUAGAGGGUGAGAGCCCCGUACGGUUGAAUGCCUAGCCUUUGUAAAACUCCUUCGACGAGUCGAGUAGUUUGGGAAUGCUGCUCUAAAUGGGAGGUAAAUUUCUUCUAAAGCUAAAUACCGGCCAGAGACCGAUAGCGCACAAGUAGAGUGAUCGAAAGAUGAAAAGCACUUUGAAAAGAGGGUUAAAUAGCACGUGAAAUUGUUGAAAGGGAAGGAUUUAUGACCAGACUUUUUCUAGGCGAAUCAUCCGGUGUUCUCACCGGUGCACUUCGUUUAGUUUAGGCCAGCAUCGAUUUUCGAGGCGGGAUAAAAGCUUCAGGAAUGUGGCUCCCUCGGGAGUGUUAUAACCUGUUGUAUAAUACCGCCUUGGGGAUCGAGGUACGCGCUUCUGCAAGGAUGCUGGCGUAAUGGUUAUCAAUCACCCGUCUUGAAACACGGACCAAGGAGUCGAACAUUUGUGCGAGUGUUUGGGUGUUAAACCCUCACGCGUAAUGAAAGUGAACGGAGGUGAGAGCCCUUUACGGGGUGCAUCAUCGACCGAUCCUGAUGUCUUCGGAUGGAUUUGAGUAAGAGCAUAAAUGUUCGGACCCGAAAGAUGGUGAACUAUGCGUGGAUAGGGUGAAGCCAGAGGAAACUCUGGUGGAGGCUCGCAGCGGUUCUGACGUGCAAAUCGAUCGUCAAAUCUGCGCAUGGGGGGCGAAAGACUAAUCGAACCAUCUAGUAGCUGGUUACCGCCGAA
Molecule: ribosomal RNA, 866 nt
Filed under: Seimatosporium parasiticum
Lineage: Eukaryota; Fungi; Ascomycota; Sordariomycetes; Amphisphaeriales; Sporocadaceae
Description: LSU rRNA
Rfam family: Eukaryotic large subunit ribosomal RNA
Source: RNAcentral